RNAcentral lists this ribosomal RNA (668 nucleotides) under uncultured bacterium. RNAcentral's name for it is "bacterial SSU rRNA". It matches the Rfam family "Bacterial small subunit ribosomal RNA", at positions 140 to 827 of the family's 1533-position model. The record is from RNAcentral.
GGGAUAACUGCCGGAAACGGCAGCUAAUACCGGAUACUAUCCCCCUUCCGCAUGGGAGGAGGAUGAAAGCUUUCGCGGUGCGAGAUGGGGUCGCGGCCCAUCAGGUAGUAGGUGGAGCAGCAGCCCACCUAGCCUACGACGGGUUGCCGGACUGAGAGGUCGAUCGGCCACAUUGGGACUGAGAUACGGCCCAGACUCCUACGGGAGGCAGCAGUGGGGAAUAUUGCGCAAUGGGGGAAACCCUGACGCAGCAACGCCGCGUGCGGGAUGAAGGCCUUCGGGUUGUAAACCGCUUUCAGCAGGGAAGAGACAGACGGUACCUGCAGAAGAAGCCCCGGCUAACUACGUGCCAGCAGCCGCGGUAAUACGUAGGGGGCGAGCGUUAUCCGGAUUCAUUGGGCGUAAAGCGCGCGCAGGCGGACCGUUAAGCGGGACCUCUAAUCCUGGGGCUCAACCUCAGGCCGGGUCCCGAACCGGCGGUCUCGAGUGCGGUAGGGGAGGUCGGAAUUCCCGGUGUAGCGGUGGAAUGCGCAGAUAUCGGGAAGAACACCGAUGGCGAAGGCAGACCUCUGGGCCGACACUGACGCUGAGGCGCGAAAGCUAGGGGAGCGAACAGGAUUAGAUACCCUGGUAGUCCUAGCCGUAAACGAUGGACGCUAGGUGUGGGG